RNAcentral lists this ribosomal RNA (253 nucleotides) under uncultured bacterium. RNAcentral's name for it is "partial 16S ribosomal RNA". It matches the Rfam family "Bacterial small subunit ribosomal RNA", at positions 524 to 776 of the family's 1533-position model. The record is from RNAcentral.
UACGUAGGGUGCGAGCGUUACUCGGAAUUACUGGGCGUAAAGCGUGCGCAGGCGGUGAUGUAAGACAGAUGUGAAAUCCCCGGGCUUAACCUGGGAACUGCAUUUGUGACUGCACGGCUGGAGUGCGGCAGAGGGGGAUGGAAUUCCGCGUGUAGCAGUGAAAUGCGUAGAUAUGCGGAGGAACACCGAUGGCGAAGGCAAUCCCCUGGGCCUGCACUGACGCUCAUGCACGAAAGCGUGGGGAGCAAACAGG